AGUGCAGCUCUUGGGGGCUUUUGUGGGAGGUGGGGGAAGGGACUGAGGGGCUGCCCUCUGUCCCUUCCCCCACCCCCCACAAAAGCCCCCAAGAGCCGCACU
This is a non-coding RNA of Podarcis lilfordi (Lilford's wall lizard), 102 nucleotides long. NCBI's taxonomy places the organism in Eukaryota, Metazoa, Chordata, Lepidosauria, Squamata, Lacertidae. The record is from the annotation of a GenBank genome assembly.